AUGGAGUCUGCCGAUGUAGCCCCUGCCAGCUAUGUCACCUUUGCUUCCUUCUUCCUGAAGGGACCCGCAGGUCAAUGGUGGGACAGCCACAGGCGUACUCUGCCAGCUGGAACAAUCAUCACCUGGCCAGACUUCCAAGCUGCUUUCCGUGCUCGCUUCAUCCCUCAGGGAGUCAUGGACCGGAAGAAGCGUGAGUUCCGCAACCUCACCCAAGGCAACAAAACUGUUGAAGCUUAUCAGCGGGAGUUUCUGGACUUGUCCCGCUAUGCUGAAGAGGACAUUGCAACUGAUGCCCGUAGACAGGAGAAGUUCCGUGACGGCCUUCAAGCUGACAUCAAGCUCGCACUUCUAGUGCAUGACUUUGCUGAUUUCGCCACCUUGGUGAACAAGGCCAUCAAUGUCGAAACUGGUCUGCAGGAAUACCAGAGCUCUCACAGGCGCAACCGUGACAUGGGCUCAUCUUCGGGCCCGCCCUCGCAGAAGCGUAAGAUAUGGAUCCCGAACAACAUGUACCGUCCAAAUGCAUCUGCCCCAAGGCAGACCUAUGCUGCACCUCGUCUGCCUCCACCACCAUCUAGGCAGCCAAGACUUCCAGCUCCACCAUCCCAAGCUCCUGUUCCCACUCCCAAUAAUGGUCUGUGCUACAGGUGU
RNAcentral lists this ribosomal RNA (651 nucleotides) under Triticum aestivum (bread wheat). Its description in RNAcentral is "partial small subunit ribosomal RNA". Lineage: Eukaryota; Viridiplantae; Streptophyta; Magnoliopsida; Poales; Poaceae. The record is from RNAcentral.